Microcebus murinus (gray mouse lemur) is the source of this 343-nucleotide non-coding RNA. The record is from RefSeq and is a predicted model, not a curated record. Lineage: Eukaryota; Metazoa; Chordata; Mammalia; Primates; Cheirogaleidae.
GCUUUAUCUCAUUAAGCUCAUUCAUUUACUCAUCAGUAUUAAAUAAAGCCUUCUAAGUGCUACAUACUCUUCUAGAAGAUGGAGGUACAAGAGUACACAAAAUGGACAUGGUCCUUGUUCUUGUGGAACUUAAAUUUUGGUGACAAUUUGGAAUUGACACCCUGAGCGGAGACUGAGCUGACCACCUGUCCCCUCUCACAAUCAUUCAGUUUUAAAAGAUGAAUAGUAAGAAAAUAAUUUGGCACAAAGAAAGACCACAAAUUCCUCUCAAUUUACAUUCUGCACUUCUGGAAAAACAGGAUGCUGUGGGAGUCCUCUACAAACAACUGUACCUGUCUGGCUG